AGAGUUUGAUCAUGGCUCAGGACGAACGCUGGCGGCAUGCUUAACACAUGCAAGUCGAACGGAGCACCCUUGACAGAGACUUCGGUCAAUAGAUAGGAAUGCUUAGUGGCGGACGGGUGAGUAACGCGUGAGCAACCUGCCUUAGAGUGGGGGACAACAGUUGGAAACGACUGCUAAUACCGCAUGAAGCAUCGAGAGGGCAUCCUGUUGAUGUUAAAGAUUUAUCGGUGAUGGAUGGGGAUGCGUCUGAUUAGCUUGUUGGCGGGGUAACGGCCCACCAAGGCAACGAUCAGUAGGGGUUCUGAGAGGAAGGUCCCCCACAUUGGAACUGAGACACGGUCCAAACUCCUACGGGAGGCAGCA
RNAcentral lists this ribosomal RNA (363 nucleotides) under uncultured bacterium. RNAcentral's name for it is "bacterial SSU rRNA". It matches the Rfam family "Bacterial small subunit ribosomal RNA", at positions 8 to 353 of the family's 1533-position model. The record is from RNAcentral.